GGGGUUGUGUCUCAGUGGUACAGUGCUUGCCUGGCAUGCAUGAGGCCCUGGGUUUGAAUCUCAGCAACACAU
This 72-nucleotide transfer RNA is filed under the name Marmota marmota marmota (Alpine marmot). It matches the Rfam family "tRNA". From Rfam's summary of the family: Transfer RNA (tRNA) molecules are approximately 80 nucleotides in length. Their secondary structure includes four short double-helical elements and three loops (D, anti-codon, and T loops). Lineage: Eukaryota; Metazoa; Chordata; Mammalia; Rodentia; Sciuridae. The record is from Rfam by way of RNAcentral. RNAcentral also lists the same sequence under 1 other name.